AAUUAGUAUUUUAUAUAAAAUUUAUUAAAAAAAAUAUUUUUAUUAUUAGUAUAUUUUUGAAUAUAAGAGUUUUAUUAUAGAUUAUUGUAUAGUGAUAGAUAAAUUAAUUAAUGUAUUGAUUAAUUAAUGUAAAGAAAAAUUAAGUUUUUGUACCUUGUGUAUCAGGGUUUAUUAAAAAUAGUUAAUUAAUUUAAUUUUCUCGAAUUAAAAAGAGCUAAUAUUAUAUAAAUAUAAUUGUUAAAUAAAUUUUUAUAAUAUAAUAUUUGUAAUGAAACGUUAUUCGUUUUUUAAUAUAUCUAGUUUUUUAAGAAAUAAAUUUAAUUUAGUUUUUAAUAUAUAUAUAAUUAAAUGAAUAGUUUUAUAUUAUUAGAAAGUAAUAUUUUAAGGGAUAAGCUUUAAAAUAAAUUUUUAUAAUUAAUAAUUUUGUUAUUAAAGUUAGUAGGAUUGGAAAUUUUUAUCUAUAAUAUGUUAUAAUUAUCUUUAGUAAGAUUAAGAUUUAUAUAUUGUUUAAGUUUUUUAUUAAAAUAUUAUAAUUAAUUUUAUAUUAUAAGAAAUAAUGAUAAAAUUAGUAUAAUUUAUUGUAAUUUUAAUUUAUUAUAGUAAGGUUAAAUUAAGGAAUUCGGCAAUUUUAUUUUUCGCCUGUUUAUUAAAAACAUGUCUUUUUGAUUAUAAUUUAAAGUCUAACCUGCCCAAUGAGGAGUUCAAUGGCCGCGGUAUUUUGACCGUGCAAAGGUAGCAUAAUCAUUAGUUUUUUAAUUGAAAGCUGGAAUGAAUGGUUGGACGAGAAAAUAACUGUCUCAAUUUAAUUUAAAUUAGAAUUUUAUUUUUAAGUAAGAAAGCUUAACUGAUUUUAAAAGACGAGAAGACCCUAUAGAGUUUAAUAUUUAUUAUUUAUUUAAUUUAUUAGUAUAAUAUUAAUUUUAUUAAUAGUAAGUAUUUUAUUGGGGCGAUAGAAAAAUUAAUAUAACUUUUUUUAUAUUUUAACAUUAAUUUAUGAUUUAAUGAUCCAUUAAUAAUGAUUAUAAGAUUAAAUUACCUUAGGGAUAACAGCGUAAUUCUUUUUGAGAGUUCAUAUCGAAAAAAGAGUUUGCGACCUCGAUGUUGGAUUAAAAUUAACUUUUGGUGUAGGAGCUAAAUAGUUAGGUCUGUUCGACCUUUAAAAUUUUACAUGAUCUGAGUUUAAACCGGUGUAAGCCAGGUUGGUUUCUAUCUUUAAAUAGUGAGAAUAUUUUAGUACGAAAGGACCAAAUAUUCAUAAUAUUUAUUUUUAAGUGAAUAAUAUUA
RNAcentral lists this ribosomal RNA (1284 nucleotides) under Trichius succinctus. Its description in RNAcentral is "16S ribosomal RNA". The stretch from base 1043 to 1201 matches the Rfam family "Archaeal large subunit ribosomal RNA", at positions 2542 to 2701 of the family's 2987-position model. The record is from RNAcentral. Lineage: Eukaryota; Metazoa; Arthropoda; Insecta; Coleoptera; Scarabaeidae.